CUUGCUCAACUCCAAUCACCGAGCAAAUACAAAACAAUGAUUUCUUCUUCGGAUAUCCACAAGAAGAAAUAAGGAAUGUAUAAAACAUUCCACAAAACAAUAACGAUCAUGAUCUUCUCACGUCUCAUACCCCAGAAACGUGCUCGUAUGCUUAAAUCACCGAUACGAGUUGGUGUCUAGUUCACCUUUACUACGAACUCCAUGUGAACAUUGUCCGUGAUUUACCCACACGGAUCAGUUUAAGAGCCCAAACAAUUACAAAAGUUGCCGACUCA
Molecule: long non-coding RNA, 275 nt
Filed under: Daucus carota (carrot)
Lineage: Eukaryota; Viridiplantae; Streptophyta; Magnoliopsida; Apiales; Apiaceae
Description: long non-coding RNA (DCAR_LNC007575)
Source: RNAcentral